RNAcentral lists this ribosomal RNA (787 nucleotides) under uncultured marine bacterium. RNAcentral's name for it is "bacterial SSU rRNA". It matches the Rfam family "Bacterial small subunit ribosomal RNA", at positions 57 to 818 of the family's 1533-position model. The record is from RNAcentral.
GCAGUCGUACGAGAAUCCCGAGCCUGCUUGGGAGAGUAAAGUGGCGCACGGGUGAGUAACGCGUGGGUAACCCACCUUCGAAUUUGGGAUAACUCCGCGAAAGCGGUGCUAAUACCGGAUAAGACCACAGCCGUUUCGGCGGCAGAGGUAAAAGCUGACCUCUCCGUGGAAGUUAGCGUUCGAGGACGGGCCCGCGUCCUAUCAGCUUGUUGGUGGGGUAAAGGCCUACCAAGGCAGCGACGGGUAGCUGGUCUGAGAGGAUGAUCAGCCACACUGGAACUGGAACACGGUCCAGACUCCUACGGGAGGCAGCAGUGAGGAAUUUUGCGCAAUGGGGGAAACCCUGACGCAGCAACGCCGCGUGGGUGAAGAAGGCUUUCGGGUCGUAAAGCCCUGUCAGGUGGGAAGAACCGUUUCGAUACUAAUAAUGUCGAAGCCUGACGGUACCACCAGAGGAAGCACCGGCCAACUCCGUGCCAGCAGCCGCGGUAAUACGGAGGGUGCAAGCGUUGUUCGGAAUUAUUGGGCGUAAAGAGCGUGUAGGCGGUCCGGUAAGUCAGAUGUGAAAGCCCUGGGCUCAACCCAGGAAGUGCAUUUGAAACUACCAGACUUGAGUACAGGAGAGGAGGGGGGAAUUCCCGGUGUAGAGGUGAAAUUCGUAGAUAUCGGGAGGAAUGCCAGUGGCGAAGGCGCCCCUCUGGACCGAUACUGACGCUGAGACGCGAAAGCGUGGGGAGCAAACAGGAUUAGAUACCCUGGUAGUCCACGCCGUAAACGAUGAGCACUA